CUUUUUUUUUUUUUUUUUUUUUUUUUACAUAUCUUAUAAGUACUUGCCCAUUUACAUAAUAUAGUUUGAUGAAAAAAUAACAUAAACAAAAAUCAUUUCUAACAGAAAAUGCAAAAAUGUUUGAUAAAUUUAAAGCAUUUUUGUUUUCAAAUUAGACAUUUGUUGUAUUUGUUUAAGUACGCUGUUCAACCAAAAAAAAAGUUUUUACAAUGAUAAAAUUCUAGCAAGAGAACACGUUGCCCCUGGAUAUAUUUUGUACCAGUAUCUUGGGUUCCUUUGUAUCAUACAACUGCACAACUGUUCUUACAGCAACCCAAAAAUGUAUCUUAAUAGGCUUUUUUUUUUUUAAAUGAAAUUAUUUUCAGCUUUGUCAUUAUAUUAAACAACUCUAGUGAGUUUUAGAGCUAUAGGCUAUGUUUGAUUGCAUGCAUAGAUGAUGGAAAUGUACAUGACCUGUAACAGUUGUGUAACUUUUUUUUUUGUUGAUUUCCUGUCAACAUCACUUUAAGUCAAUGACUGAGAUUUAUGUAAAUGGAUUUGACCUGUUCAAUUUGCAUGUGUCCUAUAAAUUGGUCAAUAGUUCAUGCAAUGGUUUGGGCUGCAUCAUAGUGUGUGUUGAUGAAUCAUUUGUUUCAUAUUUUGUUAAUUGUAUGUGAUGACUCUUGUCCUAUUCUCUAUACAAACAAUAAAACACCAAGUACUGAACAUUGAAA
This is a non-coding RNA of Biomphalaria pfeifferi, 713 nucleotides long. The record is from the annotation of a GenBank genome assembly. NCBI's taxonomy places the organism in Eukaryota, Metazoa, Mollusca, Gastropoda, Planorbidae.